RNAcentral lists this small RNA (591 nucleotides) under Pongo abelii (Sumatran orangutan). Its description in RNAcentral is "retained intron". The record is from RNAcentral. Lineage: Eukaryota; Metazoa; Chordata; Mammalia; Primates; Hominidae.
GAGGGACAGCUGUGAGGGGGAAGGGAGGCAUGUGGCCCUCCCUGGAGCUCCACAGGCCCUGAAGGCUUCCCGGGCCUGGGGUCAGGGCUGCUUCUCACCCUCAGCCACCCACUGAGUCCCAUAUGCUCAGUCCUGGGUGGGGCCCUUGUCACUCUGGUCCCAGCUCCCUUCAACCUGCCCACAGGCUCAGCAGCUGGAGUGGGUGAAGAGCCGCUAUCCUGGCCUGUACUCCCGCCUCCAGGAGUUUGCGUGCCGUGGGCAGUUUGUGCCUGUGGGGGGCACCUGGGUGGAGAUGGAUGGGAACCUGCCCAGUGGAGAGGCCAUGGUGAGGCAGUUUCUGCAGGGCCAGAACUUCUUUCUGCAGGAGUUUGGGAAGAUGUGCUCCGAGUUCUGGCUGCCAGACACCUUUGGCUACUCAGCACAGCUCCCCCAGAUCAUGCACGGCUGUGGCAUCAGGCGCUUUCUCAGCCAGAAAUUGAGCUGGAAUUUGGUGAACUCUUUCCCACACCAUACAUUUUUCUGGGAGGGGCUGGAUGGCUCCCGUGUACUGGUCCACUUCCCACCUGGCGACUCCUAUGGGAUGCAGGGCAG